Molecule: ribosomal RNA, 460 nt
Filed under: uncultured bacterium
Lineage: Bacteria
Description: partial 16S ribosomal RNA
Rfam family: Bacterial small subunit ribosomal RNA
Source: RNAcentral
CCUACGGGAGGCAGCAGUGAGGAAUAUUGGUCAAUGGACGAGAGUCUGAACCAGCCAAGCCGCGUGAAGGAUGACUGCCCUAUGGGUUGUAAACUUCUUUUAUAAAGGAAUAAAACGAGGCACGUGUGCCUUUUUGCAUGUACUUUAUGAAUAAGGAUCGGCUAACUCCGUGCCAGCAGCCGCGGUAAUACGGAGGAUCCGAGCGUUAUCCGGAUUUAUUGGGUUUAAAGGGAGCGUAGAUGGGUUGUUAAGUCAGUUGUGAAAGUUUGCGGCUCAACCGUAAAAUUGCAAUUGAUACUGGCAGACUUGAGUACAGUAGAGGUAGGCGGAAUGCGUGGUGUAGCGGUGAAAUGCGUAGAUAUCACGAAGAACCCCGAUUGCGAAGGCAGCUUACUAAACUGUGACUGACAUUGAGGCUCGAAAGUGUGGGUAUCAAACAGGAUUAGAUACCCUAGUAGUC